RNAcentral lists this ribosomal RNA (465 nucleotides) under uncultured bacterium. RNAcentral's name for it is "partial 16S ribosomal RNA". It matches the Rfam family "Bacterial small subunit ribosomal RNA", at positions 338 to 795 of the family's 1533-position model. The record is from RNAcentral.
CCUACGGGGGACAGCAGUCGGGAAUCUUUCGCAAUGGGCGAAAGCCUGACGCAGCGACGCCGCGUGAGGGAUUAAGGUCUUCGGAUCGUAAACCUCUGUCAGCAGGGAAGCACGGUCACUGUGCUAAUCAGCAGUGAAUUGACGGUACCUGCAAAGGAAGCACCGGCUAACUCCGUGCCAGCAGCCGCGGUAAUACGGAGGGUGCGAGCGUUAAUCGGAAUUACGGGGCGUAAAGCGCUCGUAGGCGGUAUGUCAAGUCAAGGGUGAAAUCCCCGCGCUCAACGUGGGAACUGCCUUUGAAACUGGCAAACUGGAGUGUGUGAGAGGAUAGUGGAAUUCCAGGUGUAGGAGUGAAAUCCGUAGAUAUCUGGAGGAACAUCAGUGGCGAAGGCGACUAUCUGGCACAUAACUGACGCUGAGGAGCGAAAGCGUGGGUAGCAAACAGGAUUAGAUACCCGGGUAGUC